Molecule: ribosomal RNA, 381 nt
Filed under: uncultured bacterium
Lineage: Bacteria
Description: bacterial SSU rRNA
Rfam family: Bacterial small subunit ribosomal RNA
Source: RNAcentral
AUUGAACGCUGGCGGCAUGCCUUACACAUGCAAGUCGAACGGCAGCGGGCCUUCGGGUGCCGGCGAGUGGCGAACGGGUGAGUAAUGCAUCGGAACGUGCCAUUGAGUGGGGGAUAACGUAGCGAAAGUUACGCUAAUACCGCAUAUUCUGUGAGCAGGAAAGCAGGGGACCGCAAGGCCUUGCGCUCUUUGAGCGGCCGAUGUCAGAUUAGCUAGUUGGUGAGGUAAAGGCUUACCAAGGCGACGAUCUGUAGCGGGUCUGAGAGGAUGAUCCGCCACACUGGAACUGAGACACGGUCCAGACUCCUACGGGAGGCAGCAGUGGGAAUUUUGGACAAUGGGCGCAAGCCUGAUCCAGCCAUGCCGCGUGAGUGAAGAAGG